UACGUAGGGUGCAAGCGUUGUCCGGAAUUAUUGGGCGUAAAGCGUGCGCAGGCGGUUAUUUAAGUCGGGUGUGAAAGCCCCGGGCUCAACCUGGGAAUUGCAUUCGAGACUGAAUAGCUAGGGUACGGUAGAGGGAAGUGGAAUUUCCGGUGUAGCGGUGAAAUGCGUAGAUAUCGGAAGGAACAUCAGUGGCGAAAGCGACUUCCUGGACCAGUACCGACGUUCAGGCACGAAAGCGUGGGGAGCAAACAGG
This 253-nucleotide ribosomal RNA is filed under the name uncultured bacterium. Its description in RNAcentral is "partial 16S ribosomal RNA". It matches the Rfam family "Bacterial small subunit ribosomal RNA", at positions 524 to 776 of the family's 1533-position model. The record is from RNAcentral.